Molecule: ribosomal RNA, 253 nt
Filed under: uncultured bacterium
Lineage: Bacteria
Description: partial 16S ribosomal RNA
Rfam family: Bacterial small subunit ribosomal RNA
Source: RNAcentral
UACGUACGAGGCGAGCGUUAUCCGGAAUUACUGGGCGUAAAGCGCGCGCAGGCGGAUGUGUAAGUGGGGCGUGAAAUCUCCCGGCCUAACUGGGAGGGGUCGCCCCAGACUGCACGUCUUGAGGACGGCAGAGGUCGGUGGAAUUCCUGGUGUAGUGGUGAAAUGCGUAGAGAUCAGGAGGAACACCGGUGGCGAAGGCGGCCGACUGGGCCGUCUCUGACGCUGAGGCGCGAAAGCUCGGGGAGCGAACGGG